Molecule: long non-coding RNA, 265 nt
Filed under: Mytilus galloprovincialis (Mediterranean mussel)
Lineage: Eukaryota; Metazoa; Mollusca; Bivalvia; Mytilida; Mytilidae
Source: RNAcentral
UAAGUCAAUAUAUUCUGCAACGCAUAUUAGAGGAUUAACAGAAAACCUAUAUGUCAAAAUACGCGUGAAUAUUCAGAAAUAGCUUAUUUUGAAAAAUGGAAUGGACUGCUGCGACCCUUCAUCCCGUAACUACAUACAUACCUUAUACCUCAUUCGAAAGCUUAUUUGUAGAAAACAAAAGUCAAUAUGUUCCGCAACGCCUAUUAGAGGAGUAACACAGACCCUUCGGCCCCUUUAUACACUACUUGAAAACUUAUAGAAAGAG